AAGGCAUAGUGAGGGCACUUUCUAAGCAUCUUUUUGAAUCUUUCCCAACUUUCAUAAAUAGAUUCUCCUUUUAAAUGAGUAUAAGAAGUGAUGUCAUUUUUAAGCUU
Molecule: small nucleolar RNA, 107 nt
Organism: Dendrobium catenatum
Lineage: Eukaryota; Viridiplantae; Streptophyta; Magnoliopsida; Asparagales; Orchidaceae
Source: RefSeq, a predicted model, not a curated record